This 465-nucleotide ribosomal RNA is filed under the name uncultured bacterium. RNAcentral describes it as "bacterial SSU rRNA". It matches the Rfam family "Bacterial small subunit ribosomal RNA", at positions 8 to 518 of the family's 1533-position model. The record is from RNAcentral.
AGAGUUUGAUCAUGGCUCAGAACGAACGCUGGCGGCAGGCCUAACACAUGCAAGUCGAGCGCGCCCUUCGGGGUGAGCGGCGGACGGGUUAGUAACGCGUGGGAACGUACCCUUUGGUAGGGAAUAGCCACUGGAAACGGUGAGUAAUACCCUAUGAGCCCUUCGGGGGAAAGAUUUAUCGCCAAAGGAUCGGCCCGCGUUAGAUUAGGUAGUUGGUGGGGUAAUGGCCUACCAAGCCUACGAUCUAUAGCUGGUUUUAGAGGAUGAUCAGCAACACUGGGACUGAGACACGGCCCAGACUCCUACGGGAGGCAGCAGUGGGGAAUCUUGGACAAUGGGGGCAACCCUGAAUCCAGCCAUGCCGCGUGAGUGAAGAAGGCCUUAGGGUCGUAAAGCUCUUUCGCCUGUGAAGAUAAUGACGGUAGCAGGUAAAGAAACCCCGGCUAACUCCGUGCCAGCAGCCGC